RNAcentral lists this ribosomal RNA (261 nucleotides) under uncultured archaeon. Its description in RNAcentral is "partial 16S ribosomal RNA". It matches the Rfam family "Archaeal small subunit ribosomal RNA", at positions 748 to 1008 of the family's 1478-position model. The record is from RNAcentral.
CAGCCGUAAACAAUGUGCGUUAGGUGUGUCGGUAACCACGCGUUACUGAUGCGCCGAAGAGAAAUCGUGAAACGCACCACCUGGGAAGUACGGUCGCAAGGCUGAAACUUAAAGGAAUUGGCGGGGGAGCACCGCAACGGGAGGAGCGUGCGGUUUAAUUGGAUUCAACGCCGAAAAACUCACCAGCAGCGACUGUUACAUGAAAGUCAGGUUGAUGACCUUACUAGAUUUUCAGAGAGGAGGUGCAUGGCGUCAGUGACU